UACGUAGGGUGCAAGCGUUAAUCGGAAUUACUGGGCGUAAAGCGUGCGCAGGCGGUUCCGCAAGUCAGAUGUGAAAUCCCCGGGCUCAACCUGGGAACUGCAUUUGAAACUACGGAGCUAGAGUGUGUCAGAGGGGGGUGGAAUUCCACGUGUAGCAGUGAAAUGCGUAGAGAUGUGGAGGAACACCAAUGGCGAAGGCAGCCCCCUGGGAUAACACUGACGCUCAUGCACGAAAGCGUGGGGAGCAAACAGG
RNAcentral lists this ribosomal RNA (253 nucleotides) under uncultured bacterium. RNAcentral describes it as "partial 16S ribosomal RNA". It matches the Rfam family "Bacterial small subunit ribosomal RNA", at positions 524 to 776 of the family's 1533-position model. The record is from RNAcentral.